This 508-nucleotide ribosomal RNA is filed under the name uncultured bacterium. Its description in RNAcentral is "partial 16S ribosomal RNA". It matches the Rfam family "Bacterial small subunit ribosomal RNA", at positions 28 to 507 of the family's 1533-position model. The record is from RNAcentral.
GACGAACGCUGGCGGCGUGCCUAACACAUGCAAGUCGAACGGAGAGAUACGAGAGCUUGCUCGUGUAAAUCUUAGUGGCAAACGGGAGAGUAACGCGUAAACAACCUGCCCAACGGAUGGGGACAACAGACGGAAACGACUGCGAAUACCCAAUAGACGCGGGAGUGGGAGGAAACCGACAGGAAAGGUGGCAGCUCGAAGAAGCUACGGCCGGAGGAGGGGUGUGGGUUUGACUAGUAAGGCGGGGGUGUGACGGCCUACCCAGACGAUGAUCAAUAGCCUGUCUGAGACGAUGGACGGCCCCCAUGGGACUGAGACACGGUCCCGACUCCUACGGGAGGCAGCAGUGGGGGAUCUUCCGCAAUUGAGGCAAGUCUGACGGCACCCCGCCGCGUGGGUGAAGAAGGCCUUCGGGUUGUAAAGGUCUGUUAUUCGGGAAGAACGAUUCGUUUGUAAAUAACGUACGGAAUUGACGGUACCAACAGAGAAAGCCACGGCUAACUACGUG